UGCGUAAACAAUGCCCCCGCUCUUAAACCCCUGCAGUAGCGGCACGAGCUCAACAUACAAGGGCAUUGACGGCUUGAGCAUGGUGGUGGUGAAGGGUGCUCUUAAACACCUUGAUCUUGUCACCAACCAGCCGUCCAAUUGCAGCUAGAUGAUCUUACACAGUCCUGAGGUUCUGGAGGUGAUCUUACAAAAUUGCCAACGCCUUCGUUCUCAUCUAGGUCAGCUACUGGGUAAGUUCGAACCCUUGUUCUUGGGAAACUUGAGCAUGAGCCUCUUGAAUAACAUGCUCGACUUGGCAAGAAGUUUCAAGACCGACAACCUAACUGAGAGAUUCCUCGGAAAGGGUACCGACAAUCCAGCCACGAAGUAGUCAAUCUGUCUUCGCCAUUGCAGGUGAUUUAAUGAAGCAGGUGGAUCGAAAGUUGGGCUCCGAGUUCAACAAGGAGGAGGCAAUAAUUACAAUGAUCAAAGUUGCUCCACUUUGUGCUAAUCCAUGACCAGUAGACUCACCAUAUCUGCAGUGUUAAGCAUGCUCGAAAGCCAAAUUAUUGCUAAUGAAGAUAUCAUGGAUCCAAGCAUAUAUGGUGAUGAAUAUAGGCUUAGAGCUUCAAGAGACCAGUUUAAUCAAAUCCAACAAGGAGUAGCUCAAGUGAAUCCGAGACCCUUAUUCAUUCAUCAGAUCCGACAUGGUUUGGAACUUCUACUUCUACCCACGUCCUCUAUCCACUUAAAAUAUUUUUCCCCACCAUGCAGAAUAUAUUUUCUAAUAAUAAGAUACGAUAUUUGCUUCACCAAUCCCAACUUCCAAGAGUGGAAGAAACAACAGUCUACUUUAAGUCCAUGCUUCUUAAGAAACAACAGUGGGGGAAAUCUGGUUUUAAGAUGAAGAUGUAAGAUCCUUGUCUUUUUAAUCAAAUCCUAGAAAUGCUUCCUCUA
This is a long non-coding RNA of Carya illinoinensis, 936 nucleotides long. RefSeq lists it as uncharacterized. The transcript is spliced from 2 exons. The record is from RefSeq and is a predicted model, not a curated record. Lineage: Eukaryota; Viridiplantae; Streptophyta; Magnoliopsida; Fagales; Juglandaceae.